RNAcentral lists this ribosomal RNA (254 nucleotides) under uncultured bacterium. Its description in RNAcentral is "partial 16S ribosomal RNA". It matches the Rfam family "Bacterial small subunit ribosomal RNA", at positions 524 to 776 of the family's 1533-position model. The record is from RNAcentral.
UACGGGGGGGGGCAAGCGUUGUUCGGAAUUACUGGGCGUAAAGGGCUCGUAGGCGGCCAACUAAGUCAGACGUGAAAUCCCUCGGCUUAACCGGGGAACUGCAUCUGAUACUGGAUGGCUUGAGUUCGGGAGAGGGAUGCGGAAUUCCAGGUGUAGCGGUGAAAUGCGCAGAUAUCGGGAAGAACACCCGUGGCGAAGGCGGCUCUCUGGGACGGUACUGACGCUGAGACGCGAAAGCGUGGGGAGCGAACAGG